CUAAAAUAAAAUUUAAUAAUAGAGAUUGAAGGGCCGCGGUAACUCUGACCGUGCUAAGGUAGCAUAAUCAAUCGCUCCUUAAUUGGGGGCUAGUAUGAAAGGAAUAACGAACUUCUCCCUGUCUCAAGUACAGGCCAGUUGAAAUUUAGUACUUCGUUAAGACGCGAAGAACCCUUGAUCAGACGAGAAGACCCCGUCGAGCUUUACUUUAAUCUAUUUUCAAACGUGUCUUAGUUUAAAGGCUAAAAAAGGAUAGGGAAAAAGUUUAGUUGGGGUGACUUCCCAAAACAUAGAAACUUGGGUGAACAAAGGUGUGAGUUAAAUCAACUAGCUUUACCGAGAAGAGGACACUCUGUUCGGUCACUAAGAACCGUGAGUUUUAGCUACCCGUCUUUUAUGGAAAGACGACAUCGAAUAAAAGCUAC
RNAcentral lists this ribosomal RNA (425 nucleotides) under Carybdea marsupialis. Its description in RNAcentral is "partial 16S ribosomal RNA". It matches the Rfam family "Bacterial large subunit ribosomal RNA", at positions 1894 to 2466 of the family's 2925-position model. Lineage: Eukaryota; Metazoa; Cnidaria; Cubozoa; Carybdeida; Carybdeidae. The record is from RNAcentral.